AACGAACGCUGGCGGCAUGCCUAACACAUGCAAGUCGAACGAGACCUUCGGGUCUAGUGGCGCACGGGUGCGUAACGCGUGGGAAUUUGCCUCGGGGUACGGAAUAACUCAGGGAAACUUGAGCUAAUACCGUAUGAUGUCUUCGGACCAAAGAUUUAUCGCCCUGAGAUAAGCCCGCGUAGGAUUAGCUAGUUGGUGAGGUAAGAGCUCACCAAGGCGACGAUCCUUAGCUGGUCUGAGAGGAUGAUCAGCCACACUGGGACUGAGACACGGCCCCAGACUCCUACGGGAGGCAGCAGUGGGGAAUAUUGGACAAUGGGGCGCCAAGCCUGAUCCAGCAAUGCCGCGUGCAGGA
RNAcentral lists this ribosomal RNA (355 nucleotides) under uncultured bacterium. Its description in RNAcentral is "bacterial SSU rRNA". It matches the Rfam family "Bacterial small subunit ribosomal RNA", at positions 29 to 408 of the family's 1533-position model. The record is from RNAcentral.